Molecule: long non-coding RNA, 734 nt
Organism: Pongo pygmaeus (Bornean orangutan)
Lineage: Eukaryota; Metazoa; Chordata; Mammalia; Primates; Hominidae
Exons: 3
Source: RefSeq, a predicted model, not a curated record
ACUACCUCUCAGCAUGAACCCUCCACCCCAUCUCUCUGAAAAUGGCUUUACUUUUUUCUUCAUGGUCUGGGUAAAAUUGGUCGAAGUAGGGCAACUGCUUCUGUCCUGGGGAGGGAAAGAGUUUUCUCCAAAAGGACAGACGGAAGCAACAAAUGGGAAGGAAACUGACAAAGCUUGUGAAAUCCCAAACCGGACUGAUGUGCUGUGACCCCUGUAGCAUUCGGGCUGUCAAGAUUAAAGGAGCCUCCACUCUGUUUCGAAACUGCAACUCUUGUCCCCAAGACCUCAUCAACCCCACCUCUUGUUUUUGUUUUUGUUUUGUGUUUUUGGCCACAAGUCAACCACUCAUCAUAAGGUGGGCAAACCCCUCGGUCCACAUUUAAAUUUGUUUGUGUGACAAAUUGUCCUGCAGUUCCACCCUCUUAGCUACUGUAACCAGCACAAGAGAAACAAUGAAUUACGAGAUUAAAGUUACGGAAAAACGACUCAUCCUGCAGAUGUUGUCUGCUGAAGGCUGUUCUAUGGACAAAUAUGUAAAGGGUCUUUGUGUGUGUGUGUGUGUGUAAAGCCAACAGCUUCACAUUUGUUCUUUGGUAAUUUGUCUUCAAUAUGCCUCCCCCCGACCCCCAUGAUGAAAGGUCAAUUAUCAGACUCAAAAAUAAGCAACCUUAUCUGGCAAGCCUGUACUCCCAGAAAUGAAUGGGAGAGCUGGGGUUUCUCAUGGGGCAGAGAAA